Listeria aquatica FSL S10-1188 is the source of this 474-nucleotide non-coding RNA. The record is from Rfam. NCBI's taxonomy places the organism in Bacteria, Bacillati, Bacillota, Bacilli, Caryophanales, Listeriaceae.
UUUAAAGAGAGUUUGAUCCUGGCUCAGGACGAACGCUGGCGGCGUGCCUAAUACAUGCAAGUCGAACGAACCAAAGAGAAGCUUGCUUCUCUGUCGGUGAGUGGCGGACGGGUGAGUAACACGUGGGCAACCUGCCUAUCAGCGGGGGAUAACACUUGGAAACAGGUGCUAAUACCGCAUAACAGAGAGGUUCGCAUGAACCUUUUUUGAAAGACGGUUUCGGCUGUCACUGAUAGAUGGGCCCGCGGUGCAUUAGCUAGUUGGUGGGGUAAAGGCCUACCAAGGCCACGAUGCAUAGCCGACCUGAGAGGGUGAUCGGCCACACUGGGACUGAGACACGGCCCAGACUCCUACGGGAGGCAGCAGUAGGGAAUCUUCCGCAAUGGACGAAAGUCUGACGGAGCAACGCCGCGUGUGUGAAGAAGGUUUUCGGAUCGUAAAGCACUGUUGUUAGAGAAGAACAAGGAUGAGUUA